ACUCCUACGGGAGGCAGCAGUGGGGAAUAUUGCACAAUGGGCGCAAGCCUGAUGCAGCCAUGCCGCGUGUGUGAAGAAGGCCUUCGGGUUGUAAAGCACUUUCAGUCGUGAGGAAGGUAGUGUAGUUAAUAGCUGCAUUAUUUGUACGUUAGCGACAGAAGAAGCACCGGCUAACUCCGUGCCAGCAGCCGCGGUAAUACGGAGGGUGCGAGCGUUAAUCGGAAUUACUGGGCGUAAAGCGCAUGCAGGUGGUUUGUUAAGUCAGAUGUGAAAGCCCGGGGUCUCAACCUCGGAAUAGCAUUUGAAACUGGCAGACUAGAGUACUGUAGAGGGGGUAGAAUUUCAGGUGUAGCGGUGAAAUGCGUAGAGAUCGUGAAGGUAAUACCGGUGGCGAAGGCGGCCCCGUGGACAGAUACUGACACUCAGAUGCGAAAGCGUGGGAGCAAACGAGGAUUAGACUACCC
RNAcentral lists this ribosomal RNA (464 nucleotides) under uncultured bacterium. RNAcentral's name for it is "bacterial SSU rRNA". It matches the Rfam family "Bacterial small subunit ribosomal RNA", at positions 335 to 788 of the family's 1533-position model. The record is from RNAcentral.